CCCUUCGGGGAGCAAGUAGAGUGGCGCACGGGUGAGUAACACGUAGGUAAUUUGCCUUUGGGUGGGGAAUACCAACCGGAAACGGUUGCUAAUACCGCAUAAUGCCGAAAGGUCAAAGCUUUAGUGCUUGGAGAGGAGCCUGCGGCAGAUUAGCUAGUUGGUAAGGUAAUGGCUUACCAAGGCGACGAUCUGUAUCCGGUCUAAGAGGACGGUCGGACACACUGACACUGAAUAACGGGUCAG
RNAcentral lists this ribosomal RNA (243 nucleotides) under uncultured bacterium. Its description in RNAcentral is "partial 16S ribosomal RNA". It matches the Rfam family "Bacterial small subunit ribosomal RNA", at positions 76 to 334 of the family's 1533-position model. The record is from RNAcentral.